Molecule: unclassified non-coding RNA, 351 nt
Filed under: soil metagenome
Description: partial contains 5.8S ribosomal RNA, internal transcribed spacer 2, and large subunit ribosomal RNA
Rfam family: 5.8S ribosomal RNA (bases 1-120)
Source: RNAcentral
GAUGAAGAACGUAGCGAAAUGCGAUAAGUAAUGUGAAUUGCAGAAUUCAGUGAAUCAUCGAAUCUUUGAACGCACAUUGCGCCCGCCAGUAUUCUGGCGGGCAUGCCUGUUCGAGCGUCAUUACAACCCUCAGGCCCCCGGGCCUGGCGUUGGGGAUCGGCGGAAGCCCCCUGCGGGCACAACGCCGUCCCCCAAAUACAGUGGCGGUCCCGCCGCAGCUUCCAUUGCGUAGUAGCUAACACCUCGCAACUGGAGAGCGGCGCGGCCACGCCGUAAAACACCCAACUUCUGAAUGUUGACCUCGAAUCAGGUAGGAAUACCCGCUGAACUUAAGCAUAUCAUAAGCGGAGA